AUGCUUGAUGAACUUAGUGGAGCCAACUAUUUCUCUAAAAUGGAUCUUAAAAGUGGCUAUUAUCAAAUCCGCAUACAAGAGGGUGAUGAAUGGAAAACCGCUUUCAAAACCAAAUUUGGGUUAUAUGAGUGGUUACUCAUGCCUAUGGGUUUAUCGAAGGCUCCCGGUACUUUCGUGCGUCUCAUGCAUCAUGUACUUCGCCCUUAUAUUGGAGUCUUUGUUGUGGUUUACUUCGAUGAUAUUCUUGUGUUUAGCAAAACCAUGAAAGAGCAUCUUGAUCAUGUUAGGGCUGUUUUGCAAAAACUUCGCAAGGAAAGUAUUUAUGCCAACAUGAAAAAGUGCACAUUUGGUGUUGACAAAGUGGUUUUCUUGGGCUUCGUUGUCUCUUCCAAGGGUGUCCAUGUUGACGAAACUAAAAUUGAAGCAAUUAAAACUUGGGCCCAACCCACCAAUUUGCAACAAGUGCGUAGUUUUCUUGGUCUUGCAGGUUUUUAUAGUCACUUCGUGAAAGACUUUAGCACUAUUGUCGCUCCUUUGCAUGCUUUGAGUAAGAAGAAUGCUUCUUUUGUUUGGGGAUCUUUGCAAUCCACUGCUUUUGAUGAGCUCAAGUCUUUGCUUACUCAUGCUCUGAUUCUUGCUUUGCCCUACUUUGACAAAACUUUUGAGGUUCAUUGUGAUGCAAGUGGUACCGGAAUUGGCGGAAUUUUGAUGCAAGAAAAACAAGAAAUUGCAUACUUUAGUGAAAAACUUUCCGGUGCUCAACUUAACUAUCCCAUCUAUGACAAAUAA
Molecule: ribosomal RNA, 789 nt
Filed under: Triticum aestivum (bread wheat)
Lineage: Eukaryota; Viridiplantae; Streptophyta; Magnoliopsida; Poales; Poaceae
Description: partial small subunit ribosomal RNA
Source: RNAcentral